GACAGAGGGUGCAAACGUUGUUCGGAAUUACUGGGCGUAAAGCGCGUGUAGGUGGCAAGGCAAGUCGGGUGUGAAAGCCCUGGGCUCAACCCAGGAAGUGCACUCGAUACUGCCUCGCUAGAGUCCCGGAGAGGUUGGUGGAACUCUCGGUGUAGAGGUGAAAUUCGUAGAUAUCGAGAAGAACACCGGUGGCGAAGGCGGCCAACUGGACGGUGACUGACACUGAGACGCGAAAGCG
Molecule: ribosomal RNA, 238 nt
Filed under: uncultured bacterium
Lineage: Bacteria
Description: partial 16S ribosomal RNA
Rfam family: Bacterial small subunit ribosomal RNA
Source: RNAcentral